AUGAAGGACGUGCUAAUCUGCGAUAAGCGUCGGUAAGGUGAUAUGAACCGUUAUAACCGGCGAUUUCCGAAUGGGGAAACCCAGUGUGUUUCGACACACUAUCAUUAACUGAAUCCAUAGGUUAAUGAGGCGAACCGGGGGAACUGAAACAUCUAAGUACCCCGAGGAAAAGAAAUCAACCGAGAUUCCCCCAGUAGCGGCGAGCGAACGGGGAGCAGCCCAGAGCCUGAAUCAGUGUGUGUGUUAGUGGAAGCGUCUGGAAAGGCGCGCGAUACAGGGUGACAGCCCCGUACACAAAAAUGCACAUGCUGUGAGCUCGAUGAGUAGGGCGGGACACGUGGUAUCCUGUCUGAAUAUGGGGGGACCAUCCUCCAAGGCUAAAUACUCCUGACUGACCGAUAGUGAACCAGUACCGUGAGGGAAAGGCGAAAAGAACCCCGGCGAGGGGAGUGAAAAAGAACCUGAAACCGUGUACGUACAAGCAGUGGGAGCACAGAGCAAUCUGUGUGACUGCGUACCUUUUGUAUAAUGGGUCAGCGACUUAUAUUCUGUAGCAAGGUUAACCGAAUAGGGGAGCCGAAGGGAAACCGAGUCUUAACUGGGCGUUAAGUUGCAGGGUAUAGACCCGAAACCCGGUGAUCUAGCCAUGGGCAGGUUGAAGGUUGGGUAACACUAACUGGAGGACCGAACCGACUAAUGUUGAAAAAUUAGCGGAUGACUUGUGGCUGGGGGUGAAAGGCCAAUCAAACCGGGAGAUAGCUGGUUCUCCCCGAAAGCUAUUUAGGUAGCGCCUCGUGAAUUCAUCUCCGGGGGUAGAGCACUGUUUCGGCAAGGGGGUCAUCCCGACUUACCAACCCGAUGCAAACUACGAAUACCGGAGAAUGUUAUCACGGGAGACACACGGCGGGUGCUAACGUCCGUCGUGAAGAGGGAAACAACCCAGACCGCCAGCUAAGGUCCCAAAGUCAUGGUUAAGUGGGAAACGAUGUGGGAAGGCCCAGACAGCCAGGAUGUUGGCUUAGAAGCAGCCAUCAUUUAAAGAAAGCGUAAUAGCUCACUGGUCGAGUCGGCCUGCGCGGAAGAUGUAACGGGGCUAAACCAUGCACCGAAGCUGCGGCAGCGACGCUGAUGCGUUGUUGGGUAGGGGAGCGUUCUGUAAGCCUGCGAAGGUGUGCUGUGAGGCAUGCUGGAGGUAUCAGAAGUGCGAAUGCUGACAUAAGUAACGAUAAAGCGGGUGAAAAGCCCGCUCGCCGGAAGACCAAGGGUUCCUGUCCAACGUUAAUCGGGGCAGGGUGAGUCGACCCCUAAGGCGAGGCCGAAAGGCGUAGUCGAUGGGAAACAGGUUAAUAUUCCUGUACUUGGUGUUACUGCGAAGGGGGGACGGAGAAGGCUAUGUUGGCC
This 1401-nucleotide ribosomal RNA is filed under the name Escherichia coli. RNAcentral describes it as "partial 23S ribosomal RNA". It matches the Rfam family "Bacterial large subunit ribosomal RNA", at positions 49 to 1492 of the family's 2925-position model. The record is from RNAcentral. Lineage: Bacteria; Pseudomonadati; Pseudomonadota; Gammaproteobacteria; Enterobacterales; Enterobacteriaceae.